GAAUCGCUAGUAAUCACAGGUCAGCUAUACUGUGGUGAAUACGUUCUCAAGUCUUGUACUCACCGCCCGUCAACUCAAGGGAGUCGGAAGUACCCGAAGUUCGCCCUCGCGGCGACCUACGGUAAGUUCGAUGACAGGGAGUAAGUCGUAACAAGGCACGGGUAGCGGAAGCUGCUCGUGGAUUAUUUCAAAU
RNAcentral lists this ribosomal RNA (193 nucleotides) under Patescibacteria group bacterium. RNAcentral's name for it is "partial 16S ribosomal RNA". It matches the Rfam family "Bacterial small subunit ribosomal RNA", at positions 1329 to 1533 of the family's 1533-position model. The record is from RNAcentral.